GAACAUAAAUCAUGAGGAGCCAGGUAAGAGUUUAUGCCCCUCAGCAGUCUGUGCGAGGGUCCAAGAAGGGACUUGGAAAUUAUUUAUGGGGUAAUGAGAAGACUCCCUGGCCAUGGUAACCCAAGACAAUGAGUCAUAUACAGCCCAGGGCUUAGCCCCGGCUGCCACUUGUCAUAGGCUCUGGGUCAUUUCUGUCCUGGUGAUGAUGAUGUGAAUGAAGUACGUCAGGACAAACCUGGACAGAAGAGCCUGCUGACUGGGACAGCACAGCCAGCCCUUCCGUCUGGGCUUAUCCAGGAGAGGGAUUUGCCUCUGAAGGUUAAGAGUUGCCUCUGCAGAUAACAAAGAGAAACUGCAAGUGUAACAUCGCUCAAAGGAAUGGAGUGGGCAAAAAAGAAACGAUAGGAACAUAUUAAACUGGAAUUCAUAAUAGUUCAUUGUGAGCUCAGCUGAAGUUUCAUUAGAUAUAUCACUUAUUUUCCACUGCUUCACAAGACAUAGUAGGUCACAAAGAGGGAUGGUGGGGAGAGGAAGAACUUG
Lontra canadensis (Northern American river otter) is the source of this 540-nucleotide long non-coding RNA. RefSeq lists it as uncharacterized. The transcript has 3 exons. The record is from RefSeq and is a predicted model, not a curated record. NCBI's taxonomy places the organism in Eukaryota, Metazoa, Chordata, Mammalia, Carnivora, Mustelidae.